UGGGGAAUAUUGGACAAUGGGCGCAAGCCUGAUCCAGCCAUGCCGCGUGGGUGAAGAAGGCCUUCGGGUUGUAAAGCCCUUUUGUUGGGAAAGAAAAGCAGUCGGUUAAUACCCGAUUGUUCUGACGGUACCCAAAGAAUAAGCACCGGCUAACUUCGUGCCAGCAGCCGCGGUAAUACGAAGGGUGCAAGCGUUACUCGGAAUUACUGGGCGUAAAGCGUGCGUAGGUGGUUUGUUAAGUCUGAUGUGAAAGCCCUGGGCUCAACCUGGGAAUUGCAUUGGAUACUGGCAGGCUGGAGUGCGGUAGAGGGUAGUGGAAUUCCCGGUGUAGCAGUGAAAUGCGUAGAGAUCGGGAGGAACAUCCGUGGCGAAGGCGACUACCUGGACCAGCACUGACACUGAGGCACGAAAGCGUGGGGAGCAAACAGGAUUAGAUACCCUGGUAGUCCACGCCCUAAACGAUGCGAACUGGAUGUUGGGUUCAAUUAGGAACUCAGUAUCGAAGCUAACGCGUUAAGUUCGCCGCCUGGGGAGUACGGUCGCAAGACUGAAACUCAAAGGAAUUGACGGGGUCAUAGC
RNAcentral lists this ribosomal RNA (579 nucleotides) under uncultured bacterium. RNAcentral's name for it is "partial 16S ribosomal RNA". It matches the Rfam family "Bacterial small subunit ribosomal RNA", at positions 355 to 925 of the family's 1533-position model. The record is from RNAcentral.